RNAcentral lists this ribosomal RNA (487 nucleotides) under uncultured bacterium. RNAcentral's name for it is "partial 16S ribosomal RNA". It matches the Rfam family "Bacterial small subunit ribosomal RNA", at positions 28 to 523 of the family's 1533-position model. The record is from RNAcentral.
GACGAACGCUGGUGGCGUGCCUAACACAUGCAAGUCGAGCGGAGGCGCCUGAAGAGCAAUCGGAGGGUGUCUGAGCGGCGGACGGGUGAGUAACGCGUGAGCGAUCUGCCUUUCACAGGGGGAUAACGCAGCGAAAGCUGCACUAAUACCGCAUGAGACCACGGUACUGAUGGUACAGGGGUCAAAGGAGAGAUCCGGUGAGAGAUGAGCUCGCGUCCGAUUAGGUAGUUGGUGAGGUAACGGCCCACCAAGCCAAUGAUCGGUAGCCGGCCUGAGAGGGUGAACGGCCACAUUGGAACUGAGAGACGGUCCAAACUCCUACGGGAGGCAGCAGUGGGGAAUAUUGGGCAAUGGGGGAAACCCUGACCCAGCAACGCCGCGUGAGGGAAGAAGGUUUUCGGAUUGUAAACCUCUGUUCUUGGAGAAGAGGAGAAGACGGUAUCCAAGGAGGAAGCCCCGGCUAACUACGUGCCAGCCGCCGCAGUAA